GUCAAGAAGACGUAAACGGCGUAUGGGCAAGAACGCACUGUGAAACGCCAAUCGGACUGCACGUCGCGAAUGUUUGCAGAAACUUAGGAGGAACUUGAAGAGAAACAGGAUAAGAAGAUUCCGAACGUACGGUGGGAAGGGGGUGUAUGUCGCGACCUGCAUGGAAAACAGGAGUGUCAUGUGUCAUCUUCUCUGAGAAAAUACAAGAUGUGAGGUGGCCAACGAACGAAAGGUCCCUGUGGUCCGUGAGUGCAUCGCACAGUCAGGCAUAUGUUUUGUCUAGACACGUGCAGCGACGCAGAGGCUAACUGAGCUGUCGAAGUACAACUGUUGAGACUGAUCUCUUC
Long non-coding RNA from Ornithodoros turicata, 347 nucleotides. RefSeq lists it as uncharacterized. The record is from RefSeq and is a predicted model, not a curated record. The transcript has 3 exons. Lineage: Eukaryota; Metazoa; Arthropoda; Arachnida; Ixodida; Argasidae.